GGGGCUGAUUGGGGUGCUGGUGCCCUCCGCGGUCUUCAAAACCGCUUGAGACCUGCGUGCCAGGUCUGCUGGGUUCGAUUCCCAGGUGGUCCCGCCA
RNAcentral lists this transfer RNA (97 nucleotides) under Bacillota bacterium. RNAcentral describes it as "tRNA-Sec". It matches the Rfam family "Selenocysteine transfer RNA". Lineage: Bacteria; Bacillati; Bacillota. The record is from RNAcentral.